AAAAACAUGUCCUUUUGAAUUAAAUUUAAGGUUUAACCUGCUCAAUGAGUUUUAAAUAACCGCAGUAUCCUAACUGUGCAAAGGUAGCAUAAUCAUUAGUUUUUUAAUUGAAAGCUGGAAUGAAAGGUUGAAUGAGAAAAUAGCUGUCUCUAUAAAAAUUUUAUAGAAUUUUAUUUUUAAGUAAAAAAGCUUAAAUUUUAAUAAAAGACGAGAAGACCCUAUAGAGUUUUAUAUUUAAAAUGUAUAUUUUUUUUUAGUAUUUUAAAUUUUAUAUUUUUAUAGUAUUUGAUUGGGGUGAUUGGAAAAUUAAAUAAACUUUUCUUUUAAAUUUACAUUUAUAUAUGAAAUUAUGAUCCUUUAGUAAAGAUUAUAAGAUAAAAUUACCUUAGGGAUAACAGCGUAAUUUUUUUUGAGAGUUCUUAUCGAAAAAAAAGAUUGCGACCUCGAUGUUGGAUUAAAAUAAAUUUUUGGGGUAAAAGCUAAAUAAAUUAGGUCUGUUCGACCUUUAAAAUUUUACUUGAUCUGAGUU
This 529-nucleotide ribosomal RNA is filed under the name Ceutorhynchus puncticollis. RNAcentral describes it as "partial 16S ribosomal RNA". It matches the Rfam family "Bacterial large subunit ribosomal RNA", at positions 1809 to 2611 of the family's 2925-position model. Lineage: Eukaryota; Metazoa; Arthropoda; Insecta; Coleoptera; Curculionidae. The record is from RNAcentral.